UCCGGUUUGUCACCGGCAGUCUCCUUAGAGUGCCCAACUAAAUGCUGGCAACUAAGGACAAGGGUUGCGCUCGUUGCGGGACUUAACCCAACAUCUCACGACACGAGCUGACGACAGCCAUGCAGCACCUGUGUUCAGGCUCCUUUCGGCACUCCCGCAUCUCUGCAGGAUUCCUGACAUGUCAAGACCAGGUAAGGUUCUUCGCGUUGCAUCGAAUUAAACCACAUACUCCACCGCUUGUGCGGGCCCCCGUCAAUUUCUUUGAGUUUCAACCUUGCGGCCGUACUCCCCAGGCGGAGAACUUAGCGCGUUAGCUACGACACCGAUCAGCCAAGCUGACCAACGUCUAGUUCUCAUCGUUUAAGGCGUGGACUAC
RNAcentral lists this unclassified non-coding RNA (376 nucleotides) under uncultured Gammaproteobacteria bacterium. RNAcentral describes it as "contains 16S-23S intergenic spacer region". Lineage: Bacteria; Pseudomonadati; Pseudomonadota; Gammaproteobacteria. The record is from RNAcentral.